This 253-nucleotide ribosomal RNA is filed under the name uncultured bacterium. Its description in RNAcentral is "partial 16S ribosomal RNA". It matches the Rfam family "Bacterial small subunit ribosomal RNA", at positions 524 to 776 of the family's 1533-position model. The record is from RNAcentral.
UACAGAGGGUGCGAGCGUUGUCCGGAAUCACUGGGCGUAAAGGGCGCGUAGGCGGCUUGAUAAGCGUGCGGUGAAAGCCCGGGGCUCAACCCCGGGUCGGCCGUGCGAACUGUCGAGCUGGAGCACUGUAGAGGCAGGUGGAAUUCCGGGUGUAGCGGUGGAAUGCGUAGAGAUCCGGAAGAACACCUGUGGCGAAAGCGGCGCACUGGACCACAACUGACGCUGAGGCGCGAAAGCUAGGGGAGCAAACAGG